RNAcentral lists this ribosomal RNA (780 nucleotides) under Oceanobacillus oncorhynchi. RNAcentral describes it as "bacterial SSU rRNA". It matches the Rfam family "Bacterial small subunit ribosomal RNA", at positions 57 to 807 of the family's 1533-position model. The record is from RNAcentral. Lineage: Bacteria; Bacillati; Bacillota; Bacilli; Caryophanales; Bacillaceae.
GCAGUCGAGCGCGGGAAGCGAACGGAACUCUUCGGAGGGAAGUUCGUGGAACGAGCGGCGGACGGGUGAGUAACACGUAGGCAACCUGCCUGUAAGACUGGGAUAACUCGCGGAAACGCGAGCUAAUACCGGAUAACACUUUCUAUCACCUGAUGGAAAGUUGAAAGGCGGCUUUUGCUGUCACUUACAGAUGGGCCUGCGGCGCAUUAGCUAGUUGGUGAGGUAACGGCUCACCAAGGCGACGAUGCGUAGCCGACCUGAGAGGGUGAUCGGCCACACUGGGACUGAGACACGGCCCAGACUCCUACGGGAGGCAGCAGUAGGGAAUCUUCCGCAAUGGACGAAAGUCUGACGGAGCAACGCCGCGUGAGUGAUGAAGGUUUUCGGAUCGUAAAACUCUGUUGUCAGGGAAGAACAAGUACGAUAGUAACUGAUCGUACCUUGACGGUACCUGACCAGAAAGCCACGGCUAACUACGUGCCAGCAGCCGCGGUAAUACGUAGGUGGCAAGCGUUGUCCGGAAUUAUUGGGCGUAAAGCGCUCGCAGGCGGUUCUUUAAGUCUGAUGUGAAAUCUUGCGGCUCAACCGCAAACGUGCAUUGGAAACUGGAGGACUUGAGUGCAGAAGAGGAGAGUGGAAUUCCACGUGUAGCGGUGAAAUGCGUAGAGAUGUGGAGGAACACCAGUGGCGAAGGCGACUCUCUGGUCUGUAACUGACGCUGAGGAGCGAAAGCGUGGGGAGCGAACAGGAUUAGAUACCCUGGUAGUCCACGCCGUAAAC